UGUUGAGUAUUGUAAACGAUUAUCAGUGCAGGUUGAUUUAGCUUCCUCGAAGUCUUAGUUUGAACUAAAACGGAAGUCUCCUUCUGCAACAUAUUGGUCAUAUGGGUUUUAUAAGUGCGGAAUGACUAAAGAGGUCGCUUUAAGUGCUCUCUAAUAAAAAAGGGUCAUAAGCAAAGCCAAUCUUAGGACAUGUCGAAUGUUAAUUGCGAAUAAUUAAUGUUGACAAAUUGCGUAGUGAUAAACGCAAUAUUGAAAGUAGAGAACAACUUUAAACUAACCGAUUUUUCCAAAAGUUCUAAAUCUCAUGCAGUUUAAUGCAAUAUUUCGCAGUCCAGGACGCUAGAAUCAUAAAGGGAGUUCCUAUUACUUGAAAAGGGUUUUAUGCAUUAAAAUAAGCAUGAAAUGUCAAUUAUACUGAGCUGAAGCGGGUUGCAGUUUCUGUUAUUCAAAAUCUUUUUAACACUCAUUUCUGUUUUUUAGAACUUAGGGAAUCCCGAGGGCUAUAUAGUUUGAAGUUUAAAAAUAAAUAGAACAAGCUGCUUUUGACAAAAUAUCAAAAAGUAGCAAAAAACCUUUAGCUAUAAUUUUUAAACUAUUGUAUUUAGACCAUUUAAACAAAGGCAGCGUGAUUAGCAUAUUUAAUUAACUUUUCAACGAAAGCAGUGCCUUUCGAUGCUUAUUUUCGGUAUAUAUACGAAUAGGUUAAUAACCUGUGGCAUUUAUCCGCAUCGCCCUUAAUACCCGUUACUCGUAGAGUAACCUUAAAAAGGUAUACCGCAGUUCAGCGAACUUGGCAGCCAUAACAUUUGACCGAUAAUGAUUGACCUUAAUCUCGAAGCCAUGCAACUGCUUCUGCUUCUGGUGUACUUGGUGCCGGG
Non-coding RNA from Drosophila suzukii, 878 nucleotides. NCBI's taxonomy places the organism in Eukaryota, Metazoa, Arthropoda, Insecta, Diptera, Drosophilidae. The record is from RefSeq and is a predicted model, not a curated record.